ACCGCCUAAGACACCACCCCAGCCAGCAUGGCCGGCAGGAGCGCACCGCGCUGUCUCCCUCCAGGGAUCCGCACCGCCCUACAAUCCUGCUUUGUGCUGAGAUUGUAGUCCUGCAGGCGUACAACUAACAAGCUGGGUGCAGAUAAGAGACUACAGCUCCCCGCAUCCCAAGCAAAGGUCCCUCCUCUACGGAGCCCCUCCACGCGUCCACUGCGGUUCCGCCGUGCCAAGGGGAGCUUGGCUGUUCACGGGCCUCACCUGCUAGCGAGAAGAUAGCUUGGCCGGGCGGCUGAUCUCACCUUGUAAUUCUGACACUGUGUCUCCCGGGCUUGUCGGCUUCAUGACUUGUGCCCAAAGUUUGAUUUCUCGCAGACCAGGAGGACCCAUUGGACCCCCGGGCUGGCUGCAGGGCCCACACCUGGGUUAGACCUCGCACAGGGACGCUGCUGCCACUGUAAUAAAGCGUGCCUACACGCUUCUGAAACUGGUGUAGGAACAACCUCAGUUCUGUGAAAGGCGGACGCAGCAGGACAGAAUCUCCGUGGACAUCUGUCUGGAGGAGCAAUUUUACUGCGACAUUUUAAAGAAACAAAUUUAAUUGAUUUCCAAGGGUGUCCAUCGCGCUUCCUUCACUGCCUUGAUCAUGUCGGGGUCACCACCUGCGGGGGUUUGUCCUGCAGACCCUGACUCAACGACGGAUGAAUAAUGUACACUGACACAGAUCUUAUGCUUGUCAGUCCUGCUGAGCAUCCAGGCCACUUACAGACUCCAAGAAGAGUCCUGUCAGCCACGGCUCUGACUUGUUGGCCCUCCCGGCAUUUAUUUAGCACACAUUUAAUGACAGAAGUCUCAGGUAAACACCACUAGAAGGUAAUUAUUGUUGCUGAACCCCCGAGUAGAGAGCAAUCAUGCACCAGUGGAUGAUCAGAGGCUGGAAACACUCUUUUUGUAGAACAUACAAAUGGACAUUUCUAAGCACAUUGAGGCCUAUAAUGAAAAAUCAAAUAUCCCACAAUGAAAACUAGAAGGAAGCUAUCUGUGAUAAUGCUUUGUGGUGUAUGGAUUCAUCUCACUGACUGAAACCUGAGUUUUGAUUCACCAGGUUGGAAACUCUUUCUGCAGAAUCUGCAAAGAAAUAUUUCUGAGCCCAUUGAGGCCUACAGUGGAAAACUGAAUAUUCUGUGAUAAAACUAGAAACACCCUAUCUGUGAAAAUGCUUUGUGAUGUGUGGAUUUUUCUCAUCGAAUGGAACCUCUGUUUUGACUCACAAGGGUGAAACACUAUUUUAGUAGAAUCUAGGAAGAAACAUAUCUGAGCCCAUUUAUGCCUACAGUGAGAAACUGAAUACCCUGCAAUAAAAAGUAGACAGAAGCUAUUUGUAAAAAUGCUUUGUGAUGUGUGGAUUCAGUGUUAAACUUUUAUUUUGAUUCCACAGUUUUGACACCCUAUUUGUAGAAUAUAUGAAUGAACAUUUCUCAGCCCAUUGAGGCCUAUCAUGUGAAACCAAAUAUUUUAUAAUAAAAACUGGAAACAAGUGAUCUGUUAAAAUGUUUUUUAGUGUGUGAAUUUGUUUCACAAAGAUAAAUCUUUGCAUGGAUUCAACAGGUUGGAAACAUUAUUGUAGAACCUAUGAAGGGAUGUUUUUAGCCUAUUAAGGACUAUAUAUAUAAAAAAAACUAGAAACAAGCUGUCUGUGAAAAUG
RNAcentral lists this long non-coding RNA (1702 nucleotides) under Homo sapiens (human). Its description in RNAcentral is "HSALNT0397015". Lineage: Eukaryota; Metazoa; Chordata; Mammalia; Primates; Hominidae. The record is from RNAcentral.